This 900-nucleotide ribosomal RNA is filed under the name uncultured prokaryote. RNAcentral's name for it is "bacterial SSU rRNA". It matches the Rfam family "Bacterial small subunit ribosomal RNA", at positions 46 to 929 of the family's 1533-position model. The record is from RNAcentral.
UCGGGCUAUCUGCAGUCGAGCGAUGAUGAGGAGCUUGCUCCUCUGAUUUAGCGGCGGACGGGUGAGUAACACGUGGGUAAUCUGCCUGUAAGACGGGGAUAACUCCGGGAAACCGGGGCUAAUACCGGAUAAUAAAAAGAAACGCAUGUUUCUUUUUUGAAAGUCGGUUUCGGCUGACACUUACAGAUGAGCCCGCGGCGCAUUAGCUAGUUGGUGAGGUAACGGCUCACCAAGGCGACGAUGCGUAGCCGACCUGAGAGGGUGAUCGGCCACACUGGGACUGAGACACGGCCCAGACUCCUACGGGAGGCAGCAGUAGGGAAUCUUCGGCAAUGGGCGAAAGCCUGACCGAGCAACGCCGCGUGAGCGAUGAAGGCCUUCGGGUCGUAAAGCUCUGUUGUUAGAGAAGAACAAGUACGAGAGUAACUGCUCGUACCUUGACGGUACCUAACCAGAAAGCCACGGCUAACUACGUGCCAGCAGCCGCGGUAAUACGUAGGUGGCAAGCGUUAUCCGGAAUUAUUGGGCGUAAAGCGCGCGCAGGCGGUCUCUUAAGUCUGAUGUGAAAGCCCACGGCUCAACCGUGGAGGGUCAUUGGAAACUGGGAGACUUGAGUGCAGGAGAGAAAAGUGGAAUUCCACGUGUAGCGGUGAAAUGCGUAGAGAUGUGGAGGAACACCAGUGGCGAAGGCGGCUUUUUGGCCUGUAACUGACGCUGAGGCGCGAAAGCGUGGGGGAGCAAACAGGAUUAGAUACCCUGGUAGUCCACGCCGUAAACGAUGAGUGCUAGGUGUUGGGGGGUUCCACCCUCAGUGCUGAAGUUAACACAUUAAGCACUCCGCCUGGGGGAGUACGACCGCAAGGGUUGAAACUCAAAGGAAUUGACGGGGGCCCGCACAAG